UGGGGGAUCGUCUAAUGGUAGGACAACAGACUUUGGAUCUGUUUAUCAUGGUUCGAAUCCAUGUCCCCCAG
RNAcentral lists this transfer RNA (71 nucleotides) under Candidatus Roizmanbacteria bacterium. Its description in RNAcentral is "tRNA-Gln". It matches the Rfam family "tRNA". Rfam says of the family: Transfer RNA (tRNA) molecules are approximately 80 nucleotides in length. Their secondary structure includes four short double-helical elements and three loops (D, anti-codon, and T loops). Further hydrogen bonds mediate the characteristic L-shaped molecular structure. tRNAs have two regions of fundamental functional importance: the anti-codon, which is responsible for specific mRNA codon recognition, and the 3' end, to which the tRNAs corresponding amino acid is attached (by aminoacyl-tRNA synthetases). tRNAs cope with the degeneracy of the genetic code in two manners: having more than one tRNA (with a specific anti-codon) for a particular amino acid; and 'wobble' base-pairing, i.e. permitting non-standard base-pairing at the 3rd anti-codon position. The record is from RNAcentral. Lineage: Bacteria; Candidatus Roizmaniibacteriota.